GACGAACGCUGGCGGCGUGCUUAACACAUGCAAGUCGAGCGGAAAGGCCCUUCGGGGUACUCGAGCGGCGAACGGGUGAGUAACACGUGAGCAACCUGCCCUUGGCUUCGGGAUAACUAUCGGAAACGGUGGCUAAUACCGGAUAUGACACACUCUCGCAUGGGAUGUGUGUGGAAAGUUUUUCGGCCAGGGAUGGGCCCGCGGCCUAUCAGCUUGUUGGUGGGGUGAGGCCUACCAAGGCGACGACGGGUAGCCGGCCUGAGAGGGCGACCGGCCACACUGGGACUGAGACACGGCCCAGACUCCUACGGGAGGCAGCAGUGGGGAAUAUUGCGCAAUGGGCGGAAGCCUGACGCAGCGACGCCGCGUGAGGGAUGACGGCCUCGG
Molecule: ribosomal RNA, 387 nt
Filed under: uncultured bacterium
Lineage: Bacteria
Description: bacterial SSU rRNA
Rfam family: Bacterial small subunit ribosomal RNA
Source: RNAcentral